AUGAACGCUGGCUACAGGCUUAACACAUGCACGUCGAGGGGAAACGACGGGGAAGCUUGCUUCCCCGGGCGUCGACCGGCGCACGGGUGAGUAACGCGUAUCCAACCUGCCUCUGACUGAGGGAUAACCCGUCGAAAGUCGGCCUAAUACCUCAUGGUAUCGUCUGCGGGCAUCCAACGACGAUUAAAGAUUUCAUCGGUCAGGGAUGGGGAUGCGUCUGAUUAGCUUGUUGGCGGGGUAACGGCCCACCAAGGCUACGAUCAGUAGGGGUUCUGAGAGGAAGGUCCCCCACAUUGGAACUGAGACACGGUCCAAACUCCUACGGGAGGCAGCAGUGAGGAAUAUUGGUCAAUGGGCGAGAGCCUGAACCAGCCAAGUAGCGUGCAGGAAGACGGCCCUAUGGGUUGUAAACUGCUUUUAUGCGGGGAUAAAGUGAGGGACGUGUCCCUCAUUGCAGGUACCGCAUGAAUAAGGACCGGCUAAUUCCGUG
This 490-nucleotide ribosomal RNA is filed under the name uncultured bacterium. RNAcentral's name for it is "partial 16S ribosomal RNA". It matches the Rfam family "Bacterial small subunit ribosomal RNA", at positions 29 to 507 of the family's 1533-position model. The record is from RNAcentral.